CGGAGAUCACUUCCCAGGCUACGGCGGAACUUUGGAUCCGUGAUCGUAGGUUCGAAUCCUACCGCCCCAG
RNAcentral lists this transfer RNA (70 nucleotides) under Thermoflexia bacterium. RNAcentral describes it as "tRNA-Gln". RNAcentral also lists the same sequence under 1 other name. Lineage: Bacteria; Bacillati; Chloroflexota; Thermoflexia. The record is from RNAcentral.